GGGAAUAUUGCACAAUGGGCGAAAGCCUGAUGCAGCGACGCCGCGUGAGGGAUGACGGCCUUCGGGUUGNAAACCUCUUUCAGCAGGGACGAAGCGCAAUGACGGUACCUGCAGAAGAAGCACCGGCUAACUACGUGCCAGCAGCCGCGGUAAUACGUAGGGUGCAAGCGUUGUCCGGAAUUACUGGGCGUAAAGAGUUCGUAGGCGGUUUGUCGCGUCGUUUUGUGAAAAACCAGCAGCUCAACUGCUGGGCUUGCAGGCGAUACGGGCAGACUUGAGUACUGCAGGGGGAGACUGGAAUUCCUGGUGUAGCGGUGAAAUGCGCAGAUAUCAGGAGGAACACCGGUGGCGAAGGCGGGUCUCUGGGCAGUAACUGACGCUGGGAACNAAAGCGUGGGUAGCGAACAGGAUUAGAUACCCUGGUAGUCCACGCCGU
This 436-nucleotide ribosomal RNA is filed under the name uncultured bacterium. Its description in RNAcentral is "partial 16S ribosomal RNA". It matches the Rfam family "Bacterial small subunit ribosomal RNA", at positions 357 to 803 of the family's 1533-position model. The record is from RNAcentral.